AUUGAACGCUGGCGGCAGGCCUAACACAUGCAAGUCGAGCGAGCGGCGGACGGGUGAGUAAUGUCUGGGAAACUGCCUGAUGGAGGGGGAUAACUACUGGAAACGGUAGCUAAUACCGCAUACCAUCAGAUGUGCCCAGAUGGGAUUCGCUAGUAGGUGGGGUAACGGCUAACCUAGGCGACGAUCCCUAUCUGGUCUGAGAGGAUGACCAGCAACACUGGAACUGAGACACGGUCCAGACUCAUACGGUAGGAAGCAGUGGGGAAUAGUGCAAAAUGGGCGCAAGCCUGAUGCAGCCAUGCCGCGUGUGUGAAGAAGGCCUUCGGGUUGUAAAGCACUUUCAGCGGGGAGGCGUUACCCGCAGAAGAAGCACCGGCUAACUCCGUGCCAGCAGCCGCGGUAAUUC
RNAcentral lists this ribosomal RNA (406 nucleotides) under uncultured bacterium. RNAcentral's name for it is "partial 16S ribosomal RNA". It matches the Rfam family "Bacterial small subunit ribosomal RNA", at positions 30 to 526 of the family's 1533-position model. The record is from RNAcentral.